GUGAAGAGUCCGGGAAAGGAGGACAAUGACCAAGGAAGGCCUUGAAGGAUGAGUCCUGCACCGUUGGUCAUGAAUCUGCACCAGUUAACCAAACUACAGGAGGGAUAAGUGAAGUCUGUGGUGAACACAUUGGGUUUAGUGUCCACAGAGUAUCCUGAGAAGAUCCACUGGAAGAGGGAGAUGUGAAUCUGUUACUUGGGGGAAAAGCCUGAGCCAAAGGUCAAAAGCUAACUAAACAGCCAGGCAGCACCACCCCACAGGAGAGGCAAGAAUGCUAACAUGCAGAGACAGCAGUGAACAUGAAGAUUCUCUCCAAGUCCCCAGAAUUCUCAUCUUGUCUUCUGAAGAGGUUAUGUCAUCGUGAAGAAAGGGCAGUUGUUUUUAUUCAGGCAAGAUGGAUCAAUGGAUUAAAAGAAACCACUGGUCACA
Molecule: long non-coding RNA, 429 nt
Filed under: Rattus norvegicus (Norway rat)
Lineage: Eukaryota; Metazoa; Chordata; Mammalia; Rodentia; Muridae
Description: long non-coding RNA NONRATT008486
Source: RNAcentral